RNAcentral lists this ribosomal RNA (442 nucleotides) under uncultured Bacteroidota bacterium. Its description in RNAcentral is "bacterial SSU rRNA". It matches the Rfam family "Bacterial small subunit ribosomal RNA", at positions 917 to 1359 of the family's 1533-position model. Lineage: Bacteria; Pseudomonadati; Bacteroidota. The record is from RNAcentral.
GGGCCCGCACAAGCGGAGGAACAUGUGGUUUAAUUCGAUGAUACGCGAGGAACCUUACCCGGGUUUGAACGUAGUCAGUCAGUUUCCGAAAGGAGAUUUCUAGAAAUAGCUGAUUACGAGGUGCUGCAUGGUUGUCGUCAGCUCGUGCCGUGAGGUGUCGGCUUAAGUGCCAUAACGAGCGCAACCCUCACUGUUAGUUGCCAUCAAGUGAUGUUGGGCACUCUAUCGGGACUGCCGGCGUAAGCUGUGAGGAAGGUGGGGAUGACGUCAAAUCAGCACGGCCCUUACAUCCGGGGCGACACACGUGUUACAAUGGGAAGGACAGCGGGCAGCCAACUGGCGACAGUGCGCUAAUCUCAAAACCUUCUCUCAGUUCGGAUCGGAGUCUGCAACCCGACUCCGUGAAGCUGGAUUCGCUAGUAAUCGCGCAUCAGCCAUGGCG